RNAcentral lists this ribosomal RNA (693 nucleotides) under Flagellimonas marinaquae. RNAcentral describes it as "bacterial SSU rRNA". It matches the Rfam family "Bacterial small subunit ribosomal RNA", at positions 755 to 1463 of the family's 1533-position model. The record is from RNAcentral. Lineage: Bacteria; Pseudomonadati; Bacteroidota; Flavobacteriia; Flavobacteriales; Flavobacteriaceae.
GAAAGCGUGGGUAGCGAACGGGAUUAGAUACCCCGGUAGUCCACGCCGUAAACGAUGGAUACUAGCUGUGGGGACUUCGGUCUCCGUGGCCAAGCGAAAGUGAUAAGUAUCCCACCUGGGGAGUACGUUCGCAAGAAUGAAACUCAAAGGAAUUGACGGGGGCCCGCACAAGCGGUGGAGCAUGUGGUUUAAUUCGAUGAUACGCGAGGAACCUUACCAGGGCUUAAAUGCAGGCUGCAUGGGGUAGAGAUACCCCUUUCUUCGGACCGCCUGCAAGGUGCUGCAUGGUUGUCGUCAGCUCGUGCCGUGAGGUGUCAGGUUAAGUCCUAUAACGAGCGCAACCCCUACCGUUAGUUGCCAGCAUGUCAAGAUGGGGACUCUAACGGGACUGCCGGUGCAAACCGUGAGGAAGGUGGGGACGACGUCAAAUCAUCACGGCCCUUACGUCCUGGGCUACACACGUGCUACAAUGGCCGGUACAGAGGGAAGCCACCCCGCAAGGGGGCGCGGAUCUACAAAACCGGUCACAGUUCGGAUCGGGGUCUGCAACUCGACCCCGUGAAGCUGGAAUCGCUAGUAAUCGGAUAUCAGCCAUGAUCCGGUGAAUACGUUCCCGGGCCUUGUACACACCGCCCGUCAAGCCAUGGAAGCCGGGAGUGCCUGAAGUCCGUCACCGCGAGGAGCGGCCUAGGC